This 493-nucleotide ribosomal RNA is filed under the name uncultured Planctomycetota bacterium. Its description in RNAcentral is "bacterial SSU rRNA". It matches the Rfam family "Bacterial small subunit ribosomal RNA", at positions 117 to 643 of the family's 1533-position model. Lineage: Bacteria; Pseudomonadati; Planctomycetota. The record is from RNAcentral.
GUGGAUACCUACCCUCAGGCUCGGGAUAGUGGCGGGAAACUGCCAGUAAUACCGAAUAACAUCUCCGGAUCAAAGCUCCGGCACCUGAGGACGGGUCCGCGUCCCAUUAGCUAGUUGGCGGGGUAAUGGCCCACCAAGGCAAAGAUGGGUAGUGGGCGUGAGAGCGCGACCCACCACACUGGGACUGAGAUACUGCCCAGACACCUACGGGUGGCUGCAGUCGAGAAUCUUCGGCAAUGGGCGAAAGCCUGACCGAGCGACGCCGCGUGGAGGAUGAAGGCCUUCGGGUUGUAAACUCCUGUCGGAGGGGAAGAAAUUUUGACUACCCCCUCGGAGGAAGCCCGGGCUAAGUUCGUGCCAGCAGCCGCGGUAACACGAACCGGGCAAACGUUAUUCGGAAUUACUGGGCUUAAAGGGUGCGUAGGCUGCACUAUAAGUCGGGUGUGAAAUCCCUCAGCUCAACUGAGGAACUGCGCCCGAUACUGUAGCGCUU